UUUCCGUAGGUGAACCUGCGGAAGGAUCAUUAAAGAGUAAGGGUCUUCGGGCCCGAUCUCCAACCCUUUGUUUAACUACCAUGUUGCUUUGGCGGGCCCGUCUCACGACCGCCGGAAGUUUGGCUUCGACCAAACUUCUGGCCCAUGCCCGUCAGUGGCCCCUUCAAAUUCUUGAUCAAGUAUGAUGUCUUAGUUAAAAACUUAAUAGUUAAAACUUUCAACAACGGAUCUCUUGGUUCUG
Molecule: unclassified non-coding RNA, 241 nt
Filed under: plant metagenome
Description: partial contains small subunit ribosomal RNA, internal transcribed spacer 1, and 5.8S ribosomal RNA
Source: RNAcentral